This 149-nucleotide long non-coding RNA is filed under the name Ictidomys tridecemlineatus (thirteen-lined ground squirrel). RNAcentral's name for it is "lncRNA (ENSSTOG00000034189.1)". Lineage: Eukaryota; Metazoa; Chordata; Mammalia; Rodentia; Sciuridae. The record is from RNAcentral.
GCACAGCGCAGGGCAGUGUAAUGGAGCCGGCCUGCUGAUGUAACGUGUGGGGUCCACCCUCAGCGAUUGAGAUCAUUGUCUCCAGCGAGAGGAAGUGGAGGAGCAGGACUGGAGCGUGGCUAUCUAUCUGUGCACCCUGGGUCUGAAGG